Molecule: unclassified non-coding RNA, 328 nt
Filed under: soil metagenome
Description: partial contains 5.8S ribosomal RNA, internal transcribed spacer 2, and large subunit ribosomal RNA
Rfam family: 5.8S ribosomal RNA (bases 1-120)
Source: RNAcentral
GAUGAAGAACGCAGCGAAAUGCGAUAAGUAAUGUGAAUUGCAGAAUUCAGUGAAUCAUCGAAUCUUUGAACGCACAUUGCGCCCCUUGGUAUUCCGAGGGGCAUGCCUGUUCGAGCGUCAUUAUAACCCCUCAAGCUCAGCUUGGUGUUGGGGCCUGCCGCACGGGCAGCCCUUAAAAUCAGUGGCGGUGCCAUCUGGCUCUAAGCGUAGUAAUUCUUCUCGCUAUAGAGUCCCGGUGGAUGCUUGCCAUUAACCCCCAAUUUUCUAUGGUUGACCUCGGAUCAGGUAGGGAUACCCGCUGAACUUAAGUAUAUCAAUAAGCGGAGGA